CGUGCGUUGCCCCUUGGGAUUCCUGAGAGUAUG
Molecule: ribosomal RNA, 33 nt
Filed under: Cladocopium sp. C15
Lineage: Eukaryota; Dinophyceae; Suessiales; Symbiodiniaceae
Description: partial 5.8S ribosomal RNA
Source: RNAcentral